GGCUGGAUAGCUCAGUCGGUCAAGAGCGAGGGAUUCAUAACCCCUAGGUCGAUGGUUCGAUUCCAUCUCCAGCCA
Molecule: transfer RNA, 75 nt
Filed under: Deltaproteobacteria bacterium
Lineage: Bacteria; Pseudomonadati; Myxococcota; Myxococcia
Description: tRNA-Met
Rfam family: tRNA
About the family: Transfer RNA (tRNA) molecules are approximately 80 nucleotides in length. Their secondary structure includes four short double-helical elements and three loops (D, anti-codon, and T loops). Further hydrogen bonds mediate the characteristic L-shaped molecular structure. tRNAs have two regions of fundamental functional importance: the anti-codon, which is responsible for specific mRNA codon recognition, and the 3' end, to which the tRNAs corresponding amino acid is attached (by aminoacyl-tRNA synthetases). tRNAs cope with the degeneracy of the genetic code in two manners: having more than one tRNA (with a specific anti-codon) for a particular amino acid; and 'wobble' base-pairing, i.e. permitting non-standard base-pairing at the 3rd anti-codon position.
Source: RNAcentral